Molecule: ribosomal RNA, 654 nt
Filed under: Fusarium proliferatum
Lineage: Eukaryota; Fungi; Ascomycota; Sordariomycetes; Hypocreales; Nectriaceae
Description: eukaryotic LSU rRNA
Source: RNAcentral
GGUAUACUAGUGAGGCGUCCGGACUGGCCCAGAGAGGUGGGCAACUACCACUCAGGGYCGGAAAGSUCUCCAAACUCGGUCAUUUAGAGGAAGUAAAAGUCGUAACAAGGUCUCCGUUGGUGAACCAGCGGAGGGAUCAUUACCGAGUUUACAACUCCCAAACCCCUGUGAACAUACCAWUUGUUGCCUCGGCGGAUCAGCCCGCUCCCGGUAAAACGGGACGGCCCGCCAGAGGACCCCUAAACUCUGUUUCUAUAUGUAACUUCUGAGUAAAACCAUAAAUAAAUCAAAACUUUCAACAACGGAUCUCUUGGUUCUGGCAUCGAUGAAGAACGCAGCAAAAUGCGAUAAGUAAUGUGAAUUGCARAAUUCAGUGAAUCAUCGAAUCUUUGAACGCACAUUGCGCCCGCCAGUAUUCUGGCGGGCAUGCCUGUUCGAGCGUCAUUUCAACCCWCAAGCCCUCGGGUUUGGUGUUGGGGAUCGGCGAGCCCUUGCGGCAAGCCGGCCCCGAAAUCUAGUGGCGGUCUCGCUGCAGCUUCCAUUGCGUAGUAGUAAAACCCUCGCAACUGGUACGCGGCGCGGCCAAGCCGUUAAACCCCCAACUUCUGAAUGUUGACCUCGGAUCAGGUAGGAAUACCMGUAAACUUWAAGCAA